ACACCGUUGCCGUAGUCGUGGUCGGACGGCAGCGCGAGCGCCUCGUUGUAGUCCUUGGCGCGGACCACCGACAGGACGGGGCCGAAGAUCUCUUCCUUGUAGAUCCGCAUGUCCUUGGUGACGUUGUCGAACAGACAGCCGCCCAUGUAGAAGCCCUUCUCAUAGCCCUGCAUCUUGAAGCCGCGGCCAUCGACCGCGAGCUUGGCGCCUUCCUUGAUGCCGAUCUCGACGUAAUCCUUGACCCGCUCCAGCGCGGCUUUGGUCACCAGCGGGCCGAAGUCGGCGCUUGGAUCGGUCGAGGGGCCGACUCGACGCGCGGAAUGAGUUUCUCCAUCAGGCGGUCCGCCGUGGUCUUGCCUACGGGGACGGCAACCGAGAUCGCCAUGCAGCGUUCG
RNAcentral lists this unclassified non-coding RNA (395 nucleotides) under Hevea brasiliensis (rubber tree). Lineage: Eukaryota; Viridiplantae; Streptophyta; Magnoliopsida; Malpighiales; Euphorbiaceae. The record is from RNAcentral.